RNAcentral lists this ribosomal RNA (433 nucleotides) under uncultured bacterium. Its description in RNAcentral is "partial 16S ribosomal RNA". It matches the Rfam family "Bacterial small subunit ribosomal RNA", at positions 29 to 507 of the family's 1533-position model. The record is from RNAcentral.
AACGAACGCUGGCGGCAUGCCUAACACAUGCAAGUCGAACGAGACCUUCGGGUCUAGUGGCGCACGGGUGCGUAACGCGUGGGAACCUGCACUUAGGUUCGGAAUAACUCCCCGAAAGGGGUGCUAAUACCGGAUAAUGUCUUCGGACCAAAGAUUUAUCGCCUUUGGAUGGGCCCGCGUUGGAUUAGCUAGUUGGUAGGGUAAAAGCCUACCAAGGCGACGAUCCAUAGCUGGUCUGAGAGGAUGAUCAGCCACACUGGGACUGAGACACGGCCCAGACUCCUACGCGAGGCAGCAGUGGGGAAUAUUGGACCAUGGGCGAAAGCCUGAUCCAGCAAUGCCGCGUGAGUGAUGAAGGCCUUAGGGUUGUAAAGCUCUUUUACCCGGGAUGAUAAUGACAGUACCGGGUGAAUAAGCUCCGGCUAACUACGUG